AUGUCAGGGCCCACCGCUAUUAACGAUGAGCUUUUCUUCCCAAUUGAAAGUGCUUUACAACCCUAAGGCCUUCUUCACACACGCGGCAUGGCUGCGUCAGGCUUUCGCCCAUUGCGCAAUAUUCCCC
RNAcentral lists this ribosomal RNA (127 nucleotides) under uncultured bacterium. RNAcentral describes it as "partial 16S ribosomal RNA". The record is from RNAcentral.